Molecule: ribosomal RNA, 437 nt
Filed under: uncultured Planctomycetota bacterium
Lineage: Bacteria; Pseudomonadati; Planctomycetota
Description: bacterial SSU rRNA
Rfam family: Bacterial small subunit ribosomal RNA
Source: RNAcentral
GUGACGAAGCGACGCCGCGUGGGUGAGGAAGGCCCUCGGGUUGUAAAGCCCUGUCAGGAGUUAAGAAACAUAAGUGCGCUAAUAUCGCAUUUAUUUGACAAAGGCUCCAAAGGAAGCCACGGCUAACUCUGUGCCAGCAGCCGCGGUAAUACAGAGGUGACAAGCGUUGUUCGGAAUUAUUGGGCGUAAAGAGCACGUAGGUGGGUUUGUAAGUCAGAUGUGAAAGCCUUCUGUUCAACGGAAGAAUUGCAUCUGAAACUGCAAGUCUUGAGUGUAGGAGGGGAGAAUGGAACUUCUGGUGGAGCGGUGAAAUGCGUAGAUAUCAGAAGGAACGCCGGCGGCGAAAGCGAUUCUCUGGCCUAUUACUGACACUCAGUGUGCGAAAGCUAGGGGAGCAAACGGGAUUAGAUACCCCGGUAGUCCUAGCCGUAAACGAU